UUACGGAAGGCAGCAGUCGCGAAUCUUUCGCAAUGGGCGAAAGCCUGACGAAGCGACGCCGUGUGAGCGAAGAAGGCCUUCGGGUUGUAAAGCUCUUUCGCUAGGGAACAAGAAAGAUUGGUUAAUAACCAGUCGAUUUGAUGGUACUUGGUAAAGAAGCACCGGCUAACUCCGUGCCAGCAGCUGCGGUAAUACGGAGGGUGCAAGCAUUGAUCGGAAUUACUGGGCGUAAAGGGCGCGUAGGCGGUCUGAAAAGUCAGAUGUGAAAUUCCGGGGCUCAACCCCGGAGCUGCAUUUGAAACUUUCAGACUUGAGGUUGGUAAGGGAAAACGGAAUUCCACGUGUAGCGGUGAAAUGCGUAGAUAUGUGGAAGAACACCGGUGGUGAAGACGGUUUUCUGUGCCAAACCUGACGCUGAGGCGCGAAAGCUAGGGGAGCAAACAGGAUUAGAUACCCUGGU
This 460-nucleotide ribosomal RNA is filed under the name uncultured bacterium. Its description in RNAcentral is "bacterial SSU rRNA". It matches the Rfam family "Bacterial small subunit ribosomal RNA", at positions 339 to 791 of the family's 1533-position model. The record is from RNAcentral.